GAUGAACGCUGGCGGCGUGCCUAAUACAUGCAAGUCGAGCGAACAGACGAGGAGCUUGCUCCUCUGACGUUAGCGGCGGACGGGUGAGUAACACGUGGAUAACCUACCUAUAAGACUGGGAUAACUUCGGGAAACCGGAGCUAAUACCGGAUAAUAUAUUGAACCGCAUGGUUCAAUAGUGAAAGACGGUUUUGCUGUCACUUAUAGAUGGAUCCGCGCCGCAUUAGCUAGUUGGUAAGGUAACAGCUUACCAAGGCAACGAUGCGUAGCCGACCUGAGAGGGUGAUCGGCCACACUGGAACUGAGACACGGUCCAGACUCCUACGGGAGGCAGCAGUAGGGAAUCUUCCGCAAUGGGCGAAAGCCUGACGGAGCAACGCCGCGUGAGUGAUGAAGGUCUGCGGAUCGUAAAACUCUGUUAUUAGGGAAGAACAAAUGUGUAAGUAACUAUGCACGUCUUGACGGUACCUAAUCAGAAAGCCACGGCUAACUACGU
Molecule: ribosomal RNA, 496 nt
Filed under: uncultured bacterium
Lineage: Bacteria
Description: partial 16S ribosomal RNA
Rfam family: Bacterial small subunit ribosomal RNA
Source: RNAcentral